Long non-coding RNA from Apis cerana (Asiatic honeybee), 898 nucleotides. RefSeq lists it as uncharacterized. The record is from RefSeq and is a predicted model, not a curated record. NCBI's taxonomy places the organism in Eukaryota, Metazoa, Arthropoda, Insecta, Hymenoptera, Apidae.
AUCUGAUUAGAUAGUAUGAAAUAAGAUAAUAUAUCACAAUUCUUAAUAUCAUAAUAUAAAAUAUCAAUCAGACAAAAGUAAUAAUAAAAUUGUUAUUUCAUAAUUACAGUUAUUACAGCAUUAAUUUAAAGUAUUUAAAUAAAAAUAAAAUAGGAAAUUUGAAAUAAUUAAAAAAUGGGUAUCAAACCAUUCCGUGCUCAAAUAUCAGUACAAAAAAAUUUAUCUAAGAGAUCAAUUAUGCUUCAGUUUUAUCGAAAAAUAUCACAAACUGAUUCUACCAUGCAAAAAAAUAUAAAUAAUAAUUUUAAGAAAUCUGUUAAUGUUGAUAUCAAACAAAAUAAAUCUUCAUCUUAAUAUAAAAAUAAGGAUCGUAUCGUUUUUGAUAUCCAUGUACUUGAACGCUUGUUAAUUGUCCUUCUUGUUGCAUUCUAUAAUAAGCACGUAUGUAUAAAUAAUUAAAAUAAUUUCAAAUUUUUAUAUGAUUAUAAGAAGCAAAUUAUUAAACUUACGUAUAUGUACGAGGUAUAAAAGAUAAUAAUGCUCCAUCAUUAUGAUCAUUCGAAAAUCUAAGUUGUGCUAAAUUAUGUAAAAAGAAAUUAAAUUGUGUAAACCAACUUUUGAGUGAACUUUCUAUCAUUCGAGCAAAUGUUGCAGCUGCUUCAGGAUUUGUUUGCUCUGGAAGAAGAGCUUUUUGUACAUAACUAACUGCAUCCACAGUCACACCAGAAAUACCAGAUGAAGUCAUCUGUGAAUUUGUGUAAUUAUUCAUUUUAGAUUUAUUUACUAAUUCUUUAAUUUCAAUGUCACUAAGUUUUUGUUGUAUAAUACGUAAUUUAUAUAAAUCAGUUAUAUUAUAUAUAUUUUUUUGAGAUAAUAAACCAUCCAUUUUUGUUAAUAU